AAGCGAAAGUUCUGCAUAAAAUUGUCUUUUUCCGCUUUGCUGCUGAUAAUUAUAAACAUGUCAACAGCAAAGUGAAAAGGUCUCCUUUAUGAGAACUUGCA
This 101-nucleotide microRNA precursor is filed under the name Manduca sexta (tobacco hornworm). Its description in RNAcentral is "microRNA mse-mir-316 precursor". Its record names the gene mse-mir-316. It matches the Rfam family "mir-316 microRNA precursor family". The record is from miRBase by way of RNAcentral. Lineage: Eukaryota; Metazoa; Arthropoda; Insecta; Lepidoptera; Sphingidae.